GGUGGAGUGGCCGAGUGGUCAAAGGCAGCAGACUGUAAAUCUGCCGGUGAAAGCCUACGUUGGUUCAAAUCCAACCUCCACCACCA
This 86-nucleotide transfer RNA is filed under the name Synergistaceae bacterium. RNAcentral's name for it is "tRNA-Tyr". It matches the Rfam family "tRNA". Rfam says of the family: Transfer RNA (tRNA) molecules are approximately 80 nucleotides in length. Their secondary structure includes four short double-helical elements and three loops (D, anti-codon, and T loops). Further hydrogen bonds mediate the characteristic L-shaped molecular structure. tRNAs have two regions of fundamental functional importance: the anti-codon, which is responsible for specific mRNA codon recognition, and the 3' end, to which the tRNAs corresponding amino acid is attached (by aminoacyl-tRNA synthetases). tRNAs cope with the degeneracy of the genetic code in two manners: having more than one tRNA (with a specific anti-codon) for a particular amino acid; and 'wobble' base-pairing, i.e. permitting non-standard base-pairing at the 3rd anti-codon position. Lineage: Bacteria; Thermotogati; Synergistota; Synergistia; Synergistales; Synergistaceae. The record is from RNAcentral.